This 500-nucleotide ribosomal RNA is filed under the name uncultured Glomeromycotina. RNAcentral describes it as "partial small subunit ribosomal RNA". It matches the Rfam family "Eukaryotic small subunit ribosomal RNA", at positions 591 to 1092 of the family's 1831-position model. The record is from RNAcentral. Lineage: Eukaryota; Fungi; Glomeromycota.
CCAAUAGCGUAUAUUAAAGUUGUUGCAGUUAAAAAGCUCGUAGUUGAAUUUCGGGGUUAGUAGGUUGGUCAUGCCUCUGGUAUGUACUGGUCUCACUGAUUCCUCCUUCCUGAUGAACCUUAAUGCCAUUAAUUUGGUGUUUUGGGGAAUUUGGACUGUUACUUUGAAAAAAUUAGAGUGUUUAAAGCAAGCUAACGCUUGAAUACAUUAGCAUGGAAUAAUGAAAUAGGACGUUCGAUCCUAUUUUGUUGGUUUCUAGGAUUGACGUAAUGAUUAAUAGGGAUAGUUGGGGGCAUUAGUAUUCAAUCGUCAGAGGUGAAAUUCUUGGAUUUAUUGAAGACUAACUACUGCGAAAGCAUUUGCCAAGGAUGUUUUCAUUAAUCAAGAACGAAAGUUAGGGGAUCGAAGACGAUCAGAUACCGUCGUAGUCUUAACCAUAAACUAUGCCGACUAGGGAUCGGAUGAUGUUAAUUUUUUAAUGACUCAUUCGGCGCCUUACG